RNAcentral lists this ribosomal RNA (417 nucleotides) under Pontogeneia rostrata. Its description in RNAcentral is "partial 16S ribosomal RNA". The record is from RNAcentral. Lineage: Eukaryota; Metazoa; Arthropoda; Malacostraca; Amphipoda; Pontogeneiidae.
GUAGCAAAAUCAUUUGUUUUUUAAUUGGGAACGGGUAUGAAUGGUUUAUUGGUUAAGAAUAUUUAAUUUAUUUUAAGUAAAAUUACAAUUUAUGUAAAAAUGCGUAAAUUAUUUAAAGGGACGACAAGACCCUAAAAUCUUUAUUGGUUAAUUAAUAAGCUAAAAUUUAUAUUAUUAUAGUUAUUUAAUAUUCAAUUUGGCUGGGGCAGUGGUUUUAUUUAAAUUAAUAUUUAUUUUUACUUAAAGGAUAUACGGUCUUUUAUAUAAGGAAAAUUUGAAAAAGUUACUUUAGGGGUAACAGCGUAAUUCUUUUGGAAAGUUCUUAUUUAUGAAGGAGGUUGCGACCUCGAUGUUGAAUUAAAAUUUCUUAGCGAAGGAGAAAGUGCUAUAGAGGGUUUGUUCAACCUUUAAUUUUUU